UGCAAGUCGAACGGCAGCACGGGUGCUUGCACCUGGUGGCGAGUGGCGAACGGGUGAGUAAUACAUCGGAACAUGUCCUGUAGUGGGGGAUAGCCCGGCGAAAGCCGGAUUAAUACCGCAUACGAUCUACGGAUGAAAGCGGGGGACCUUCGGGCCUCGCGCUAUAGGGUUGGCCGAUGGCUGAUUAGCUAGUUGGUGGGGUAAAGGCCUACCAAGGCGACGAUCAGUAGCUGGUCUGAGAGGACGACCAGCCACACUGGGACUGAGACACGGCCCAGACUCCUACGGGAGGCAGCAGUGGGGAAUUUUGGACAAUGGG
RNAcentral lists this ribosomal RNA (319 nucleotides) under Burkholderia contaminans. Its description in RNAcentral is "bacterial SSU rRNA". It matches the Rfam family "Bacterial small subunit ribosomal RNA", at positions 56 to 375 of the family's 1533-position model. The record is from RNAcentral. Lineage: Bacteria; Pseudomonadati; Pseudomonadota; Betaproteobacteria; Burkholderiales; Burkholderiaceae.